This 588-nucleotide ribosomal RNA is filed under the name uncultured bacterium. RNAcentral describes it as "bacterial SSU rRNA". It matches the Rfam family "Bacterial small subunit ribosomal RNA", at positions 338 to 916 of the family's 1533-position model. The record is from RNAcentral.
CCUACGGGAGGCAGCAGUGGGGAAUUUUGGACAAUGGGCGCAAGCCUGAUCCAGCAAUGCCGCGUGAGUGAAGAAGGCCUUCGGGUUGUAAAGCUCUUUUGUCAGGGAAGAAACGGCUGAGGUUAAUACCUUUGGCUAAUGACGGUACCUGAAGAAUAAGCACCGGCUAACUACGUGCCAGCAGCCGCGGUAAUACGUAGGGUGCAAGCGUUAAUCGGAAUUACUGGGCGUAAAGCGUGCGCAGGCGGUUUUGUAAGUCUGUCGUGAAAGCCCCGGGCUCAACCUGGGAAUUGCGAUGGAGACUGCAAGGCUUGAAUCUGGCAGAGGGGGGGUAGAAUUCCACGUGUAGCAGUGAAAUGCGUAGAGAUGUGGAGGAACACCGAUGGCGAAGGCAGCCCCCUGGGUCAAGAUUGACGCUCAUGCACGAAAGCGUGGGGAGCAAACAGGAUUAGAUACCCUGGUAGUCCACGCCCUAAACGAUGUCUACUAGUUGUCGGGUUUUAAUUAACUUGGUAACGCAGCUAACGCGUGAAGUAGACCGCCUGGGGAGUACGGUCGCAAGAUUAAAACUUCAAAUGAAAUUGACGG